Long non-coding RNA from Oncorhynchus mykiss (rainbow trout), 1213 nucleotides. RefSeq lists it as uncharacterized. The record is from RefSeq and is a predicted model, not a curated record. NCBI's taxonomy places the organism in Eukaryota, Metazoa, Chordata, Actinopteri, Salmoniformes, Salmonidae.
GUAAGUUUAAACCACGCCCAGUCUCUACUGUGAUAGGCCAACAGACGGGUUGGGACAAUGUCUAUCACAGUAAAAGAACACUGUUUACAUACAUCUUGUCAGUUCCCUGUUCUGCCCUGCGUGGUAUUACAGUGAGCCGGUAUAUACGAAAGUUGCAUUUGCCAUUUAUUACUUAGCUAAUAAAAAAUACAUAGUAUACAAUCGGUAACUCAUUGCUAUAUUUAUCCUGAUACCAGAUUCGAAUUUACGCAACUCUAACAAUAGCUAGCCAAAUAUUGCCUGGUGGGCUAGCUAAUUAGGCACAUUGGUUGUCUAGUUGGCUACAUUAGCUAACGUUGCACGGUAUGUCACCGUGGUGUAGUUGGCCUUUCACGACAGGCGGUGACAUUCUAGUGAAUGUGCCUAAUGCUAACUAGCUAACGUUAAAUAUCCCAUAGCUAGCAUGUGGGGUCUGGGGAAAAGUCUGACUACACGAAGAUUGAGCUAACGUUAACUAGCUAGCUAGCUCACAAAGGACUUGUGGGCUCAAUGUUUUUUGUCUUUCAGAUGGGCAGACCAGAAACCCAGUGACAACACGUGGGUCUUAAGCUGCCAUUUUCCAGAAAUAGCCCUGUAUUUACCAGAAAAUGUAGCUCAUCCACCAUGGCAGAAGAGGAAGAUCUAGACUGUUGAUUGGGAUACCAGAACAAACAAUGAGGCAUGAGGAUUGAGUAUUAAGGGACCACUUGUCACAUUGUCCAAGUUCAACAGGAGUGCAUCCCUCAGACCAUCUGGUGGGAAGACAUCAUGUGCCAGUGUGAUCUGAGCGCAAGCGUCCAGACAGGUACAAGCAGGAAUUACUGGGGUCUUCAGCAAGUUAAAUUAUUUUAAAACCACAGAUAUAAAUUCCCACUGUGUCCAUGAUAACCAUAGUGACACUUGACCUCCACCACUAAUGUGGUGCCCCCAAGACUAUCUGGUGAGGCACCCAGGAUCCCAGACCGCAUGACCCAAAGCCCUGACUCCUGCACAUCCAUCCCUAUAGACAUUUUGAAUGACUUGAUGCCCUCCUCUUCGUUAUCUGUGCCCCACUUUACAGACAACACCCCAUCCAACGACUGAUCUGAGGACCCUUUUUAGCAGCGACAUAUCAAUCAUAUAGUGGGAAGGAUCCUAUAAAUCAAGACUCUGUGAAUGCAUACCACACCGAAUAAAUACAUACUGUGCCUUUGAA